CCUACGGGGGGCUGCAGUGAGGAAUUUUGCGCAAUGGCCGCAAGGCUGACGCAGCAACGCCGCGUGGGUGAUGAAGGCCUUCGGGUCGUAAAGCCCUGUCAGGUGGGAAGAAAGGUUUCAAGGAGCAACACUUGGGAUUUGACGGUACCACCAGAGGAAGCACCGGCUAACUCCGUGCCAGCAGCCGCGGUAAUACGGAGGGUGCGAGCGUUGUUCGGAGUGACUGGGCGUAAGGCGCGUAUAGGCGGGGGAAAGCCCUGGGCUUAACCGGGGAAGGGCAUUGGAAACUGUUUGUCUUGAGUACGGGAGAGGAAGGGGGAAUUCCCGGUGUAGAGGUGAAAUUCGUAGAGAUCGGGAGGAAUACCAGUGGCGUAGGCGCCCUUCUGGACGGUAACUGACGCUGAGACGCGAAAGCGUGGGGAGCAAACAGGAUUAGAUACCCUUGUAGUC
This 450-nucleotide ribosomal RNA is filed under the name uncultured bacterium. RNAcentral's name for it is "partial 16S ribosomal RNA". It matches the Rfam family "Bacterial small subunit ribosomal RNA", at positions 338 to 795 of the family's 1533-position model. The record is from RNAcentral.